This 438-nucleotide ribosomal RNA is filed under the name uncultured bacterium. Its description in RNAcentral is "partial 16S ribosomal RNA". It matches the Rfam family "Bacterial small subunit ribosomal RNA", at positions 28 to 507 of the family's 1533-position model. The record is from RNAcentral.
AGCGAACGCUGGCGGCAGGCUUAACACAUGCAAGUCGAGCGGGCAUCCUUGUGGUGUCAGCGGCAGACGGGUGAGUAACGCGUGGGAACGUGCCCUUCGGUUCGGAAUAACUCAGGGAAACUUGAGCUAAUACCGGAUACGUGCGAGAGCAGAAAGGUUUAUCUGCCGAAGGAUCGGCCCGCGUCUGAUUAGCUAGUUGGUGAGGUUAUGGCUCACCAAGGCGACGAUCAGUAGCUGGUCUGAGAGGAUGAUCAGCCACACUGGGACUGAGACACGGCCCAGGCCCCCUCCGGGAGGAGGGGGGGGGGAAUAUUGGAAAGGGGGGCCACCCUGGACCACGCCUUGCGGGGGGAGUAGGGCGGCCUUUAGGGUUGAAAAGCCCUUUUCCCCGGGACGAUAAGGAGGUUCCGGGAGAAAAAACCCCCGGCUACCUUCGUG